GAUAAGGAAAUGUGUCAUAUGCAGUUCAUAUAUUCUUUCUUCAUCCGUUAAAGUAAAGGACCUGUGACAACAGUUGUAAGCAUUUUAACAUUCAGAUCUCUUAGGAAAAUUCAUACUUGGUACAGCAGGGUAUGUACAUUUUGGAACUCUCCUCUAUUUCAGAUCUGCAUGAGAAAACUCUGAUCGUACUUGAGUGACUAUAAAAAUAUAUGUAAUCAUCUGAAUAGAAAACUUUCAGUUAUCUUUCAGUUUUACUAUUCAGUAUCUGUUUGAAUGGCUUAGGUAAUGUCAGAGAUCCAGGACUUGCUUUUGAGUACAGGCGGAUACCAAACGAACGUUCAGAACACGAUCCCAAAUAGAAUUCAGGCAGAGAGCGUUAUCCCAAUGACUUGCAUUUUGGGUAUAGAGAAUUAUGGCUUGGAAAGAUGUGGCUUUCUAAGUUUCAAACCAAAUGCAUAAGAACUUUGACAAAAUUCAUCCAAGUUAAUCAAAUCAGUUCCAGAUAACAGUUUAGAUUUAAUCCAGCUAAGCAUCAAACAAUACACUAAAUAUGAUUAAAUGCCUGCACUGUCCUUAUUUUAGCUGUCUGUACUGUAUUGUGUGUCACAUGGAGUAUUUACCCUAAUUCCAAAUUACCAGAUAAACUACAGAAUUCAUAUAUUCUUAGACUGAAGUUUUCAUAAGGCACAUGUUUCAAUGAAACUCAUAGUGUCUAUCUGGCCUCUCAAAAUGUGAGGUGAUGCUGCAUCUCGUGCUAUAGUGAUCACGGUUGAUUAUGUUAGUCACAAAAAAAGAUGAAUCAUCUGAAAACCAUCAAGUUGUGCUUUGUCUGAAAAAGAGUAUGAAAUGCUGACCAACUGUAGUUGAAGAAAUUAGGAAAAAGCUGCUUUGUUGUUUCUUUUUUAAUCAGAGUAUAGCAAAGCCUCAACUUUAUCAAAGCCCACAAAAAAUAUUGCUAUAUAAAAUAAAACAGCUAAAUACAACUUUUAAAAAUAGUCCUAGUCAUCUAGAUAGUGGUGACAGUAAUGACAUUUAUAAUAGAUAAUUACUGCAAAAUCCUGCCAGCAUAUUAAAUAAGUUAUUUCAGAUUAUGAUAAGCAGUACACACCAGACAGCAUUUUUAUUUUGGUGCGCUGUUAUUUGUUCUGUGGUUAUAUUUUGGAAGAAGAGAAACAGGAACAUUGGCCAGAAAGCAUUUGACCCUGUUGAGUUAGAUUUUCUGUCUGGUAGCUCAGAUUUCAAUUAGAGAUGAGAAGACCAUGCUGGAGGGGGAAAAAGCCAAAUGCAGAACAAACAUUCCUUCUCAAAUAACUUUGAACUGAUAAAAGAACUGAAUACGACAUUAACUGCAUUAGAAAAAAAAUCCUAAUGGCACUGUAGUUGUAAGAAUAUAUAUACAACCACAGAGUGAUGAGGAAGCUGACAUAAACUGAGUUAUUCCGGCCUUUAUAGAAGCUUCUCUCAGUAAUAAUCCAUUUGUAGAUGAUGCAAAAUAGAGUUCGAAUAAUACUGAUGAUGUCAGAAGUUUAAUUAAUUUAAUUCCAGAUUUUCCAGCACUUGUAGUAUUUGCCACGUAAUAAUUCAUGAUUUCAUCCAAUAACAAUCUCGGAGAGUUACUUAAGAAGCCUCAAGCUGCCAUUAUACAUGGUCUGUUCCCUUGCAAUAUGGACAUUUCUCUUCCAACUUUGCAGCACUGGCUCAGAGUGAGCCAAAAAAGAAGCAGUACCGGGCAGCAAUGUGCACCAAACUAGAUAGCUCUGCAAGAGGUAAUAUUGAUCCAAUCAUUCAUUCCUUCAUAGCCUGUCCUGCAACUUUUUUCUAGGUGAAUGUACAGAAGGAAGUCCGUGCAUUAUAAAGCCGCAGUCCCUACUGAUGUGUUAGCACUGAUUUAACCCUGAUGUAGUUAUACGAAUUGUGUAAUACUUUAAAAAUGGAACUGCCUGAAAAAGACUUCAAAGCUUCUUCUAAAAUGUGGGGGAGCAUGUCCAGAUUCUUAAAAAAAAAAAAAAAAAAAUUCAAUCCUUUCUUUGUCGAAUAUUUAUAUCAUCUUACAUGUUACAUUUAUUUCUGGAUUAAUUGAAUAGACUUCUGGUAUUUUGAUCACUGUAGGAAUAUGAUUUUACAAGUUAACAGUGACACUUUCUCUCCUCUAGUUAUUUUCUACUGCAAAUGGAUUUAAUUCUCUUCAGCUGGAAAAUGUUCUUCAGAGAUGACCUGUACGUUAUUGUCUCCAAUCUCCCCCAUCCCAGGGCAGCGUGGAUGAAGUGAGAAGUGAAAAUCCAGUGUAAUAUAACAGGAAGUUCUGAUCAGCUCCACAUGCCCAGUCCAUUCUAAUGCUGCACUUUGUGAAUGACAGUCUAGAGGCCACAGCACAGGGAAAGGCCAAGUCAUGGAUUUUGCAUUACCUGCUGCUUAUGCUGUAAAACCACAUCCAUCGCUCUGGUAAAAACUAAAAAGGUGGCAGUUAUCAGUGAAAAAGUGUGCUAUGGCAUUACAUAUAACUAACUAGCAAUGGCUGCUUUUGUUCUGUGGUUUAUAUAUGCUGUGGCGGAUUUGCUGGUGGAUAAGCUGAAGGACACCCAAGCUUUGAAAACAAACUCUCUGACAGUAUGUGGUUCAAAAUGACCACUGAUGAAUAACUGCAGAGACAAGUGGAUAAACCAGGCAUGGCUCCUGGGAAGGACUUGAAUAUUCCCAACUCCCACUGAAGUCAGUGAGGCUGAAUUAAGAAGAAUUUGAGAGCCAGCACGUGGUCAUUACUUGCUGAUAUCUCAGUGUUUUUGCCUAGUGAGAACCUGAGUUACUGUGUUUGGGUUUUGUUUGUUUGCUGGAAACAAAUAUAAUACCUUCAUAGUAGCUGAAUGCAGUAGGAGCCAAUGAGAAGUCAGGGGACAGGUUCAAAAGAUUUCAGCCUUGGAAAGCCAUGCAGUCAAUGCUUGUUCCAGAAAAGGGGCACAGAAAAUCUUUUUUUUUCUGAAAAAAUCUGAAUCAUGUUUAACGGAGGUCUUGUGAUUGGUGGAGUUUGUCUAGACUGUGUGUUAGAAACCAUAUAUAUUUUAAAAAUACUGGGUGGGCAAAAUGCUGGGCCUGGGACGCACAGUGCAAGCUGUCCUGGCAAGGCUCAGCAUCAACUCUGCGCUUUAGACAUCAGCUUUUAGCAUUCUCUGCCUUCCCUUCUGUUUAUGAAAUUCAUUUUUUCUAGUGCACCAAACCACUACAAGUCAUUACAGGUGUGAACUUGAUAUCAACAGAAAUAACGCUUAAUUUUAUGGGAGAUACAUAGAGGGAAUUAUUUUGCUAGGGGCUAAAUAAAUACAUUUUCCAUAGCACCUCUCAAUUCCCAGUCCAUUAAGAAACCACAUUUCUGUCAGUAAGCAAAUCCACAGCUGAUGUCUGGGCUAUCAGUUGUGCUCGUAUUUCUUGCAGACUGAAAAUGUGAUCAUCAUUCCUGCUUCCUCCCUCCUGGAAAUGCAGUGGGGAGGAUCCCUUUCUGUCUGGGUUGUGAAAACUGCUUAACUUUGAGUAUUUGUUUUGCCAAGGGAAGAUAAUGGUAGGGAAGAGGGCAUUUGUUUCUGGAGCAGGAGGUCCCUCAUUGCAGUCCCUGCCCCGGGGGGGAGCUGAUGAUUGUUCGGUUGUUGGGGUAAUCCAAGCAAAAAGUAGGGUUAAGUUCAUAUCACAGUAACAGGAGAAUGUUAAGGAACAAUCCCAAAAUAAACCCUCUUCAUCACAGUGUUCAUAGUUAAUUUGCCAACCACAAAAAAUAGGUGCUAAAUGUUUUUUCUUGGCCAUAGGAAGAUGAAGCAUUGUCGCUUCAGUGGCAGUUGUAUUAAUGGUCACUGUUAACAACUAAUGAGAAAAGAAACAAUACAGUUUGUACAGGGCUAUUUGGGUAUCUGUUUAGAAACAGCCAUGCUACUACAGAAAAACUUCACCCUCUCCAUAGUUAAGUAGUUCGUUCUUGAAAAAUUUCCUUUAUAUUGCAAGUAGCAUCAGCGCAGAUUUUGGUUGGCAGCCAUAUAUGCUAAACAUGCCUAGGUAGGAGUCUGAGGGAUCAGAUACAUGGAGAAAAUUACCUCAGGCUAAGACAAGCAAUUUAUUUUAUGCUCGCUGUGAGCCAGAAGCGCACGCUGAUCCGCAGCACCUCCCCAUUUCACCACAGUGCCAUUUUCAUCCAGUGAGCCUAAGCAAUGCAGCUAGUCUUUUGGAAAAUUGUCUGUUGUGCUAAUGUUCUGUUAAUGACUUCUGCAGCUUGCUUAUUUCCCCACCAUCAUCGUUUGUGAAACGACUGCUGCCUGAGCUCCCCGCAGCACCGUGCUGCUCAGAGGGAAGCUCAGAGGAGGCACUGUGGCCUGUGCUCAGGUGAGCUGUGGGGAAGCGGCCAUGGGGGUGGCCUGGGCCUGCACAGUGGGAGGCUGUGCUCCAGCCAAGUUAUGGCAGCACGCGAGCACAGUAAUGCCCAUCUGUACAAUCUGGAGAGCCUUCAGCUAGAGCACGAGGAUCAAGAGAACUGAACACAGGGCAGAACGGAUACAGAGCAUUACUGAGUCAGGGGCAGGAGGAACCCAUGGGGGAUAGGGAUGCUGUGGCAGGCAGGUGCACUUGGCCUGGUGCAGAUCCAGCCCACGGGCCUGCUUGGGCCCCAAGCACCCCACGAGAACAGCUGGCCCCAGCUGGCUUGGGACAGGCCCCAGCUGGGUUGGGGCAUGGCCGAUUUUAAGAAAAGCACUUUGAGCUGAGGUGUUUGCGGUUCUAUAGCCAUGCAUUUUGUGUAGAGAAAGACUGAGUUAUUGGUGCUGUACUGAACUUUAACAAUAAUCUUCAAUAGCAGGACGCAAGGGAGACAUUCAUGUACUGCCGUAGGUAUGUGUACGUGCAGCCACUGAACUACUGUGGAAGUAAGCGCAGCACAAAAUCUUGUCUGAAGUGUUGUGUUCCCCAUAAUCAGGUCUUAUUCCAGUCAAGAGCUGCAGUGACCUUGUGUACCUCCUAGAGAAAGCCUGCACCUGGACUCAGAGGUUAACAACCCGGAUAGCUGCAACUAACCUACGUGGAGAGCUCAUUUCCCAAGAGUCACAUUUAGAAGUGCAAUCCUGUCUGUUUAGAGAAAUAGUGAAGAAUCGUGUCUGAUAGCAAGCCUUUUAUAUGAAGUUUUUAAAGUCAUGAAUGUCAUCAGGAAAUAAGAUACUGACAAGACUGAACUGGUAAAAUACAGAAAAGUCAAGCUUGAAUGAUGCAAGUCACUUAAAAAAGCAUACCAGAAUCUGAAAAUGAGAGUUUGUUAAAAGCAAAGGUUUAUAGAAUAUGUAAUAAUGGUACGAAAGCUUCAAAACAAGUUUUCAGGGAUUUGUAAUAUUUAGGGUGGUUUUUUUUUUUCAUGCAAGUAAUGCAUUGCUUUUUAAACUGUAUCUUUUUGUCUGUUUGUACGUUACACCAAAAAAAAGUGUUUAAUUUUAGGGAGAGCUCCAGGGAAGCAGGUAAAGCUCUGAUGAGAAGGCGAUUUGCUGUGUUUCAGAAGACAACCUCAGCAUGCUUUAUCUAUAUUCUUUUGAAAAAUACUAGCCUUAUCUCCAUGGAAGAAAUGCAAAGAGCAUCCUCUUCAUAAUUCUUGCACUUCAGAAACAGCAUAUUACAUCUGACGUGUUUAAAACUUGCAAUUUAUUGUGGGCUUAUUCUUAAAGCUUGCAUCGGAUGCAAUGUUUUUCACUAAAAUACUGAAGUAAUUUUGUGAGAGAGAGAAAAAUUCUUUUCAUUCAUUUACUGAUCUUGAGUACAGAGGGAUACCUUGCAUAGUACAGUUACUGUACAUGAUGGCCCAUCAAAUCAAUCUUGGAAUUGCAACCCUGCUUGUCAUCUGUUUGAAAAUCUCUUGCAAAUUACCAUUAACAAGUCAUAUUAGAAACAUCAGGAAUAAUAAGUGCUUUCAAACAGGGGGUUGUCAAAUUAUAUAGUCUGUUUGUUUGUUCUUUAGGAAAGAGAAAUUCAUAAAAGCAUUUAAAAGCCUUGAAAACCUGAAAUGCAAGACAUGUUUGUUCAGUAGUAAUGUUCUUGCAUCAGAAACUCAACUUACUAUCUAUUUUCUUAGUAUGUUUAUUUUUGUAAGAAAAUGUUUAUUUUCAUGAGGAAAUAGAUUAAUCUUGAGGAAAAUAUGGGCUGUUCUUUUAUUGCCCAUGACUCCAGUUUUCAUCUCCUCCUACACAGGUCUGGUCCUAUUUAGUGCGAAGGCAGUAGUAAAGCUUUUAUUUCAUUCACUGGAGAAGAAUCAUGUGCCUUAUUAUUAUCCUUAUUCUACAUAAUUACCAGAUAAAAUUAUUUGAAUAAACUGGCUUUCCUGACAACCAACCAAAUCAUUUCUAUGUUGGGUUAAAAGCCAGUUUCAUCUCCUUGUAGCUCUUCUGCACUGGAAAGCAGGACAAGAAUCUGGAGCAGCCAAAGGAGUGUGCCCCAGCCUGGCCCUCACCCUGCAGGGUGCUGAGCAUUUGGGGCAGCUCCACAAAGAUGGCACAUCCCUCUGCUAACCUGCAUGUUUUGCUUUCCAGACCAAAGGUACCGCAGUUGAUGAAGGACAAAAUGUGGAAAUUCAUUCAUUUUCAACUGUACAUGCUGUAAUGUAUUCACAUCCUUCUGUAUAUUUUAAAUGCUAGGGAGAAUUUAAACCUAAUUGGUUUUAGCUUGUAGAGCGUCAAAAAUUUACAGAGCAUAACUAAUUUUGGGAGACCUGUUCCAACUAUUUUUUGCAUUUAGUGUAUUUUCUGGCUAAAGAAUGAAAGAAGACAAAUAUUAGGGAAAUAUUACUGCAUAUUCUAAUUAAAGAACAGGCAGAAUUCGAUCUUGGCACAUUCCAAAUCUCUGAACCCAAUGGAAGGAUCUAAAGAACUUGUUACUCAUGAGGGUAUGUGCUUCAUGAGGAUUUCAUACUAGAACGACUCUGGCAAUAGGAAGCAGAGACAGUAGGCUCCAAAUCAAAAUUAAGAAAAAUAACAAAAUAUAAAUGAUAAUUAAAAAAAAAAAAAAAAAAGGAAAUAGCUGUAGAAGAAGAAUGGGGGGAUUUAAGAGCUUGGGCUACAUUUUGGAUUGAAUUUCUGGUUUGUUUUUUAGAUUGCUCCAAGAGGCAAGACAACUUUGCUAGUGGAUGUUCAAAAAAUGAUAAAAUAUGGAGCACAUAAGAAAUAUUCUUAAUCACAAGAAAUAUGGAUGCCAGAACUGCACUAAGACUUUCAGAGUGCAACAGAAAAAUCAUCUUCUUCUCUAUUGCAGACUGGCUUUCUGGCAAUGUGAUUACAUUACUUCCUACACAGUUCUAGAUCAAACUCAAGUUUAUGAGUCAUUCAGGAUCCCCAUGGUCGGGAAAGACCCCAGCAUGUAAGUAGUUGUUACUACAGUAAAUGAUGCCAGAAAAUCUUUUCCUAGAAAUGGUAGCCAAUAGAUAUUCACUCAUUUCAGUUUUUAUUUAUGUAUGUGUUAUAAAAAGAACAUAUAAUGGGGCUGGCUUUAGGAAAUUCAUAAGACUUAUUAUUAAAAAUGCAUGUGUAGUCGUGCAUGCAUGUGUACAUGUAUACGGAAUAAGCAAAUCAUAGAUAGAUUCAGUCCUUUAUCUUCAAGCAGGAAGAAGAGUCAGACUUUUUUUUUUGUUGAUCCUCAGUGGUACUUUAGCAAUUGUUUCCUGUGGCUGUACUAUGUGUGUAGUUUUCAAUUAUGGGUGAUUAAGUAUGAAUCUGUAUUUUAUUAUUAGCUACAUCUAUAUCUACUCUGAUUAUAUGUGUAGUGUGCGUACACAGGCACCAGCUGCUAGAAUAAAAUAGACUUUUAUUGAUUUUUUUUUUCCUGGAGAUAUAUGCUUGCAAGAUCAAAUUUUCUAUUUCUGAGCUAUAUUUACAUGUAAACGUUAAUAAAACCAUAUAUCAACUUGCCUGAUAUAGAGACCCCUUAUUGUUCACUCAAGGCUAGCAAUAACAACAUAAAUAGAUUUAUCAUGGGAGGUGCUGAGAGAUCUAAUAGAAAGGCUGUUAGCACCGAGGCAAAGAUUUGGAACUCAGCCAAGCUGAGAUGGGAUAGAAGUAAUUCCAUUAAAUGGCCAUAGAUUUGUUUUUGGUAGUCGUCUGAAGAAAGGUUUUGUUACCGUCUGUGAAAAAAGUUAUUUUCUCUCCAGUCAAAUAGCUAUAUUAAAUGACCCUCCCCUACCACUCCUGGCAAGUUUUCUGUGCUUUUGAAUGGGUUUCUACAUGAAGUUCUCAUUUGUCUGAGGGCCUUCUACUUCUUCCAUUCACUGCUGAUAUCAGCUACGCUGUAAUGAGAAAAUAAGCAUUGUAUGGAGCAUGUGUUUUCUAUCAUUAUUUCACUCCAAAAAUUUUUAGUAAGUAUUGCUUGAAAUGCAGAGCAGGCCGUCUACCACGUCACCUGAAAACUACAUCUCAUUCAACUGAGAAUGGAGAAAACAUUAACAGCCUAUAUUAAGUGAUUUCCUUUUGUCUGAACUAUCACCUACGUUUUGAGACUUUGUUUCCUACAGAGAACAGAUUCCAGUCCUUGCUUUGGGAAGUUCAAGACGUGGAUACAUAUGUACGUAGAAAAAGAUAGGUAUUUUUAUGUUUAAGAAUAGACCUAUAAAUCGUUCCAUUAGCUUCAGCCCUUAGUCUUGUCAUUGCCAAGUCAGCAGUUCCUCCACAGAUGGGUUUAUUUCAUAAGUGCCUGCAAAAGUGCUGCAUGUUGCAGAAAACAUGCUAUUUUAAGUUAACAAAACUUUUAGAUAAAUCUUUACCUAAUUAAGGUCAUUUAUCCAGGCACAGUAAUGUCUAUCUGUACAUACUAGACUUGUUUCGCUUGCCAACUAACUUACAAGCACGUUUAUCUGGUUUUGCUCAGUGCCUCAUGCUGCGGUGGGCUACUUGUAAAGACCUGCUCUUCCAGCUGGCUUCUUUAACUCUUGUUCACCUGUGGGUCAAAUAAGUUAUUUUUGUAAUACAUUUGCAAUUCAGUGCAAUGUCUAUUGUGAUCAGUGGAUCUCUGUCAAUAUUUACUAUUUCUGUUAAGAGUGACGGAUCGUUUGUAAUUUAAGAAUCGAGCAAGGCCAAUCAGUAGUUCAUCUGCAUCCCAGUAAUUAUAUGGAGCACGUUAGCAAGGAUGAGGGCUGCUGACCUCUGGCGAAAUACCCACCAAGAGACAAAGCUGCAGCCUACAGAGAUGGAGGUCUGCGUUAACCACAUCAUUAGUGGGGGGGAGCUCCUCCGGGUUUAGGAGGUACUGAACAAAGGCUUUGGUGCUGAAUGGGAAAACCAGGUAUUUCUAGAAGGUAAGACUCCAUACUUGCACAGUGCCAAAGGGACACAACAGGCACAGACCUCCUGGGGGAGGCUCGGCUUCAAAAAGGUUGGGAUUCUUGCUCUAAUCAAAGCUGACCGAUGCAUGAAUGCUGCCUUCACGGCCAUUGCUUAAAUUAAAUACCUGGAAAUGAGAUGCUGACAAUCUCUAGAAUUCUUAAACAAAACCUGUAAGUCAUCUGUCUUGCCUACAGUGUUAAACAGACCACUUUAGUUUGUGAAGUGGCCAAGGAAAAUACUGCCCCGUGUUGCCACCAAGGACCAGAGGUCAGUGCUUUGGGAGAGAGAGUUAUGUAGCAAGAGCAUCGUACCAAAUAAAGUAAGAGAGAGAGAGCUAUUUCUCUAUGGCACUUCCAUAACUUCUGUGCAUUCUCAAUACAGCAUCCUGUUAAGUAUUUCAGGACUUAUUACAACUGCUUUUCCCUUAUCUUUAAGUAUAUAUAUUUAUAAAAAACAACAAACAGGUGUCUGCUCCAUCUUGUAUACUUGAUCUUUAGAAACUGUGCUCCAAGUAAAAAUCUGUUCCCAUCCUUUUGGGAGUUCGGUUAGCUGGAAGGUCAAGAAGAUGCUGGCUUGUAUCACCAACCAAAUUAAAAUCUUACAAAUUAGAAGGUGAAGUUAUGAAAGCAUUCAAUGUUUUACAGUGGAAUUUAAGAGCAGACACUAAUUCUCUUCCCAUUGACGCCAAAGACUUUUGCUUUCUUCAAGAGGAAGAGAAUUAGGCCAACUUAAAAUAGGCCAAUCCAGUAUUUUCCUUCAGUGCCACACAUAAAAAUGAAAGAUGACAUCUAAAUUGCAAAACAAAAUUCAAAUAAAGUUGCAAGGCUUCAGGAAGCAAUUAGAGAAUGUAACUUGAUGUACGUUAGUCCAGGCACCUCUCAGAAUGGCAUGGAGGCAUGUUCUCUUACUGGCUUCAUGAAGCCAAUUAGUAGAGGAUUAAUCAAUCACCUGCAAGGAAAGAGUCUAGAAAAGCAGCCUAACUCACGUGCGUGCUCAGUAGGCUGUUUCUUACCAAAGCAGCCCUCUGAUUUCUCUUUUCAGAAUUCAAGCACUCUGUUUUAGAGAAGCAGGAUUACCAUGCCCUGACAAAAGCAGCUCUAAGCCAGGUAAGAGUAAAAACUGUGAGCCUAUCUUCUGAGAGCAAGGCACGUGCUAAGGGUAGAGCUGAAGAUGAGUAAGGGAGCACUUUCUUCUUGAGGCGAACUGCUGUGGCUCUCUGCAGGUGCACCUGGUGGUGGCACCCGGCCUUGCUCCCUAUGCCCCCACGCUGGCAUCGCUGCCUCCAGCACAGCUGGGAGAAGGUAAGGCACUGCACUCCGAAGUGAGGUUCUAGGUUGUUUUAGGAGGAAAAAAAAAAAAAGUAUUUUGUAUUUAGCACAGCAUUUAAGGCCCAAUCCUGCUAAUUACUUAACUGGAGCUUAGGAUUUAGGAUUUGCUGUGGGAGCUCCGCACAUCCUGCAGGAUGGUGCUUCUCACUGCAUGAAGAUGUAAGCACUGGCUUUGGGCUGAGAUGCGGGCUCACUGCAAAUUAGCAUUGUAUAAACAGACAGCAGGCUGAAUGGAUUUAUGUGCUGCCCAAAACUUUGCAUAGAUUUUCUGCAGUUCUGUGUCUACAAAAUGUCUGCCAGAAAAAAAAAAAUCUUGAGCUCAGGAGGAUGAAGUAUCACACGUGUAUUGUUCAUGUAGCUAUGGUAACCUACAAAUGCCACCAGUGUUUCCAUUUCAUACACAAAUGAGGGGACAGCUGUGGAGACCACAUGUCUGCCAAUGGAAUAAUAUAUGUGAACGAGGAUGGCUUGGCCAGAAAAUUACAACUCAUUUAUAUUAAUCAGGGCUUCAAAGAACAGCCAUCUCUGCAGAGAUAAAGUCCACAGUAAAAGGGAGUGAUUUUAUUUCUCAGACUGUUUGGCUCUUUAGUAAACAUUUUCACCAUCUUCCUACUUGCCAAUUUAAAAAAAGUAGAAAUGCUGGGAGCAGCCAGUGCCCUUCUAUAAAUGUCACUUCACUUUUUUCCUUGGCGUGGUCUUUUUCUGCUGCCUGACCCUGGUGUGGCCCAGCCCAAAGCCCACCUGGGAAAGCAGCAGUUCCCAUGCAGGCAGAAAUGGGCUCAGAACUCAAACCUGGCUUCUAAGUGGAAAAACAACAGUAACAACAACAAAAAGAAAAACAACUUUUUGUUUUACUCAUUGAUAUCAUUAACAGAAAUAAAAGCUUCAGAACAUGCACUUUUUUAAGUUGUGAAAAAUGAACUCUGAGCUUCUAUGAUCCCCAGCAAUACAAUCAACAACAACAAGAAAGAAAACCCAGGAAACUCAGCAAUACAAAUCAGUGGCAUUUUCAGCAACUACUGAGCUGCAAGUUGCAGAACCAGCAGGGCUAUGAUGCAAGGCACUCCAGGUGCCCCUUGGAACCCCAAAGCUGCAGCUGGCAGCAGCAGAACACCACGCACUGCCCAGCAAAAGUUUCCCUGGAUGCUGCAGUGCCACGCUGCUAUAGCACCUCGAACAAAGGCUGCUGCAUCGGGGCUGCUGCCACUGCGGGCAGGCAGCACAGCUCUGCGUACCGGGGCACCGCGUGGUGAUGGUGUGAGCUUUCAUGAGUGCUCAUUUAAAGGACUGCGUUUACUCCGUGAUCUGGGACUGAAAUACAUCGAUGCAUGUUCUUGAAGCAGAGCUUCCUCGCUUUCAGCUGGGUUCGAGCCCUGUUAAACCAAUGGGAGCUGAAGUUUCCUGUUGCAGCCUGUUGGGAUGCUCUCAGCGUGAAUUUAUUCAUGUUAAUUAAAAACAAACAAACAAAGACAAUGGUUUUUCCACA
Long non-coding RNA from Numida meleagris (helmeted guineafowl), 12128 nucleotides. RefSeq lists it as uncharacterized. The transcript is spliced from 2 exons. The record is from RefSeq and is a predicted model, not a curated record. Lineage: Eukaryota; Metazoa; Chordata; Aves; Galliformes; Numididae.